GCCUGUAGCAUCAACUGUUUGCGAGCAAUUGGGCUUUGAAUGUAAUACUACCUACCACGAUCAAAAACACAGGCCUAUGAAUAGCAACGUUAAGCUGUCUAAUGAAACGAAAAUGGUGGUCACCCUAUAAAAACCUUGUAAUGAAACGUUACGUUGGGAAAAAACAAACCUUACAUUAUUAAAGAAAGCGCAACAAAUGGCAAUAGUUGAAAACGUGUGGAAACCUACGAGUCAACAUAUCUGAGUACCUGAAAUCGAAAGUGAACUUUUAGCAGAUAUGACAGUCGCAGUUACAGACUUUGCGGUUGUUUCCUGUAAGCUUUCAAAUCGAAGGGCAAAACGCGUUUUUUAGACUAUAAUGAUACAUGAAUAAAAAGUUUAGAAAAGGAAUAUCAGUAACCGGAGCUGACAAUGGCAAUAAACAGUGCCAAUUCUAGGCUUUUUGGGGCCGUAAACAACUUUUUUAUUAGGGCCUGCUCUCCCCUAUCGGUCAAUGGCCCCCUAGCACUUUUUAUCACAGGACCAGAAUACCAUGGUUUGAAGAAUCCAGGGGCAAUGUGUUAUUUGAACAGUGUUUUGCAGGUCCUCUUCAUGACGGAGGACUUCAGAGAGGCUGUGGAAAGUCAUUGUGAAGAAAACUAUAUUAUUGAUCUUCAGCUGCAUCAGCUGUUUUCAAAUUUAAAGGAAAAUGAAUCUAACACAAAGGACGUCAUGUCAACACUGGGCAUUGAAAACUUAUAUGAACAACGUGAUGCUGCUGAGUAUUUUGAGAAGAUUUUAAGCAUGGUUAAUCCUGAAGUGUCUAAGAUCUUUAAAGGAGAAUUAAGACACAUCACUACCUGUUUCAGCAAACAUGUAACCAGUGAUGAAACAGGUCCAUUUUGGACAUUGCCCCUCCCCAUAGCAGAUCCAUUGGACUCUUCCAACACCUACUGUGUGAAGGAUGGGUUUAACAAUUUCUUCAAGUCUUCAACUGUGAGUGGGGAAAACCAGAUGUACUGUGAUGAAUGUGACAAGAAAGCAGAUGCAACCAUUGAAUGCAGGAUGGAACAUCACCCAGACAUUCUUAUUCUGCUCCUCAAGCGGUUUGAAUUUGACUACGACAGCAUGGCAUAUGUCAAAAUCAACCGCUGUGUGGAAGUGCCUCACACAUUACAGACAGAGAAAAAUCUCUAUGAGCUUUAUGCAGUUGUGGACCAUUUUGGCAGUUUAAGUGGUGGACAUUACAUUGCUAAGAUCAAGUCCUUUGAGGAUCACAACUGGUAUAUCUUCAAUGAUUCCUUUGUAAACAAGUUGAAUCCACAACCAAACAGUACAAUGAUUGAAAGAUCCCAGAGUGCUUACCUACUUGUCUACAGAAAAUCGCAUGUUAAAAACGACCAUGCAACCGACCAAGUUCAAGUUCCUCCCAGUGAGGGUGGAGUUAAUAAAGAGGAUGGAGAGCAUGUUGAAAUGAAGACAAGUGGGGUUAACAUUAAUGGUGGUGUAGAACAGAAAGAACAUGAGCAUGCAGUCAGGAGGAAAGAACAACUGAGACAUUUGAGAAAGCCAGACACAGGAACAGAUACUGUUAUUGAUAAAACAAAACCAAUAUACUGUGGUUUGUUUGAGGAAAGCGUGGAGUACAUAGCACACAGGAGACAGGAUGUGGAUGAGGACAAAUACUUGGUGUCAGUAACAGAUGUCACUCUGCAGCAGACACCAGAGACACAACAGAAAUUGGGCAAGCUCCGUGUAUACCAUUAUGACUAUAUUUUGCCCGUUAGGAGUUCACUAAGGGAGAAGGAUAAUUUUGUGGAGAAAGGACCUAAGGGUAAUUUUGUGGAGAAAGGGGAAAGGGAUAAUGUUGUGGAGAAAGGGAUCAGGAUACUGUGGAGACAAGGAAAGGGGACAAUUUUGUGGAGAAAAGGGAACAGGAUAAUGUUGUGGAGAAAGGGGAACAGGAUAAUGUGGAGAAAGGGGAAUGGGAUAAUGUGGACAAGGCGGGCAGGGGUAAUGUUGUGGAGGAAGGGGAACAGGAUAAUGUGGCAGAGAAAGGGGAACAGUAUAAAGUGGAGAAAGGGGAACUGGAUAAUGUUGUGGAGAAAGGGGAAAAGGAUAAUGUGGACAAAGGGGGAGGGGGUAAUGUUGUGGAGAAAUGGGAGCAGGAUAAUGUGGAGAAAUGGGAGCAGGAUAAUGUGAGAAAGGGAAACAGGAUAAUUUGAAGAAAGGGGGACAGGAUAAUGUAGAGAAUGAGAGACAGGAUAAUGUGGAGAAAGGAAGAGGGGAUCAUGUUGUGGAGAAAGGGGAACAGGAUAAUGCUGUGAGAAUGGUAGAUAAAGUCAGUGUGUUGAUGUAAAAGGAGAAAGGCAUCUUAAUGACACGCAGACCAGUCUGACCAAGUACGAACAGUCUUCCAGCUCUGCAAACGUGCAAGAGCAUAGUCUCACAUACUUUUUACAAGCCUUGUACGUUUGAUGAACUCAGAGGAAAAGAAAUGCAAAGAGGAAUUGAAAAAUGGUGCUGGAGGAAUAAAAAGAGAAGGAUAAAACAAGUGAAGCGUUUGAGUAUACCUUCAGGGAAAGAGCAGAAAAAGAGGAACUGAAAGAUGACCGGGGUAACAGGAUAUGCCUUUCUGACCAGAUAAAGAUGUCAGCCCAAGUAGCUUCUGGAAUGGCUUAUCUGGAGUUAAAGAACUUCCUCCACAGGGACCUGUCUCCAAGGUGGCUGACUUUGGCCUCGCCAUGGUUGUUAAAGCUACGCCAAUGCCAUUUAACUGGACUAGUGUCUAUUACAGUGCAUACCUGUGGGGGAUGCCCUGUUCCCUUUGAGAUGGACAGCUCCCGAGGCAAUCGCCAGCAAGACGUUCACCAUCAAGGGUGACGUGUGGUCCUUCUUGUUGUAUAAGAUCAUGACUUUUGGUAAGAAGCCCUAUGCAAGUAAGAUUUUUAUAUUUACUUUGUCCACAUAGAAAUUCUGCACUAAGUGGAAAUGUCUUAGAGAUCUGGGGGCUUUUAAGUGGCGAGUCAAGACCGUUAUCAUAAAUUGUAUUCCACAAAAAAUAAAUAUAUAUCAACCGAGCAACAAUACACUGACACAACGGUCUGAGUUCUGCCAACAAACCUGAAAGUUUAUGCCCAAGAAUGGCAGAUAACCCCACUUCAGUACUGUGCUGUGUUUAGAGUAAUUGGACAGUAAGCAUUGGACAGUAAGCAAUUAUUUAUGGCUCAGCAUUCAAGUUUGGGGGACAACAAACAGUUACUAUAAGGUUCAAGUAUUGAUUCUUAGAUUUUAGUUGAGGGUAUUUGUGUAUGGAGGACUAA
Esox lucius (northern pike) is the source of this 3302-nucleotide RNA transcript. It is a transcript of the gene named ubiquitin carboxyl-terminal hydrolase 47-like, with no coding region annotated. The record is from RefSeq and is a predicted model, not a curated record. The transcript is spliced from 14 exons. NCBI's taxonomy places the organism in Eukaryota, Metazoa, Chordata, Actinopteri, Esociformes, Esocidae.